AUUAAAUUAAAAUAAGUUUAUUUUACGGACCGACAGGAAAGACAAGUUUGGUUAUGAUCAUGCCUUGAAAAACUAUUGCUCACUAUCAACGGUUCUGUCUUGGUGAUUGAAGACAUAGACAGAACAGACAUGGAGGAACUGAAGUAAUCUAUUAUAUCUUUGAAUGGCUCCCUCUUAUUUUUACUUAUUUGUAGUAUUCCACUAUUGUAGCGAUUAAUGAUAUCAGGAGACGAGAUUAUCUCUGGCUGGAGUUCUAAACUGUAUUGAUGGUAUAUGAUCAUCUUGUGGUGAAGAAAGGAUCAUAAUCUUCAUCACAAAUAACAAGGAUGAUAUAGAUGAUUCUCUCCUUAGACCUUGAUGUAUGGAUCUCCAUAUAUAUUCACAUGGGACAUUGCUGUUUUGAUGGAUUAUUCAUAAUGUUGGCGUAUACCUACUUAGGCCUCUUUCAUGACAAUGAUGCCCCACACCUGUCUCUACCCGGACCUCGAAGGCUUGGUGAGGAAGAAUUUAAUAUCAAAUAAAAUUGAUGAAGUUGACAAAGACUUGUGACUAAUGUACUUGAAGCAAGUUUUAGAAAGUUGUGCUGAUUUUCCACAAACAUCGAUUUGUUGUUUACUAAAAACU
Molecule: small RNA, 624 nt
Filed under: Arabidopsis thaliana (thale cress)
Lineage: Eukaryota; Viridiplantae; Streptophyta; Magnoliopsida; Brassicales; Brassicaceae
Description: ATSL251060
Source: RNAcentral